RNAcentral lists this ribosomal RNA (500 nucleotides) under Eteoneus angulatus. RNAcentral's name for it is "partial 16S ribosomal RNA". It matches the Rfam family "Bacterial large subunit ribosomal RNA", at positions 1860 to 2620 of the family's 2925-position model. The record is from RNAcentral. Lineage: Eukaryota; Metazoa; Arthropoda; Insecta; Hemiptera; Tingidae.
UGCCCAAUGAUUAAUUUUUGGCCGCGGUAUUUAUCGUGCGAAGGUAGCAUAAUCACUUGUCUCUUAAUUAGAGUCUAGAAUGAAAGGUUAAACGAAGGGUUAACUUUUUUAACCAAACUUUUUUUAAUUUAAUUUUGUAGUUAAAAAGCUACAAUAAAUUUAUGGGACGAUAAGACCCUAUAGAAUUUUAUUUAUUAUUAGUUGUGUAAUAUUUAGUUAAAAUUAAUUUAUACAAUUUUGUAUAAAUUUGGUUGGGGUGAUUGUUAUAAUUUAUCAACUAUAACUUUAUUAAUUCAUUAAUUAAUGAAUUAUUGAUCCUAAUGUUUAGAUUAUAAGAAUAAAUUACCUUAGGGAUAACAGCGUAAUUUUUUUGGAAAGUUCUUAUUAAUAAAAAAGAUUGCGACCUCGAUGUUGGAUUAAAAUUAAUUUAUGGUGCAGAAUCUAUAAAUUUUAAGUCUGUUCGACUUUUAAAAUUUUACAUGAUCUGAGUUCAACCGGAA